RNAcentral lists this unclassified non-coding RNA (165 nucleotides) under uncultured Chaetothyriales. RNAcentral describes it as "sequence contains ITS2". The record is from RNAcentral. Lineage: Eukaryota; Fungi; Ascomycota; Eurotiomycetes; Chaetothyriales.
UCAACUAUCAAGCCUGGCUUGUCGUUGGACCCCUUUUGUCACUGAAAUAUGUGAUAGGUCCGAAAGAUAAUGACGGUGUCGUGUUUGACCCUAAAUGCAACGAGCUUUUUUAUAGCACGCAUUGAAGUGGUCGGCCGACCCAGUCUUUAACCAUCAUUUUUCUAA